Molecule: ribosomal RNA, 300 nt
Filed under: uncultured Bacillus sp.
Lineage: Bacteria; Bacillati; Bacillota; Bacilli; Caryophanales; Bacillaceae
Description: bacterial SSU rRNA
Rfam family: Bacterial small subunit ribosomal RNA
Source: RNAcentral
UCCAACGCGGGGCAGGGUGAGUCGUUCAUACGUAGGGUGCAAGCAGUGUCGGGAUGUAUUUGGCGUAAAGCGCGGUUAGGCGGCCAAGAAGGGCCGCUGUGAAAACUCGAGGCUCAACCUCGGGAGGUCGGUGGAAACCGUUUGGCUAGAGUGCGGAAGAGGGGAGUGGAAUUCCCGGUGUAGCGGUGAAAUGCGCAGAUAUCGGGAAGAACACCCGUGGCGAAGGCGGCUCUCUGGGACGGUACUGACGCUGAGACGCGAAAGCGUGGGGAGCGAACAGGAUUAGAUAUCCGGGUAGUC